Molecule: long non-coding RNA, 4420 nt
Organism: Calidris pugnax (ruff)
Lineage: Eukaryota; Metazoa; Chordata; Aves; Charadriiformes; Scolopacidae
Exons: 9
Source: RefSeq, a predicted model, not a curated record
CCCGCGGGGGAGGCCUCCCCUCCCGCCCUGGGGCCGGUGGGUGCCCCGCGCCGGCCCUCGGGGAGAAGCGGAGCCGGCGGGUCCCCCGUGGCUCCCCUCAGGGGCUGCGCGGGAAGCUCGGCCCGGCCCGGCCCGGCCCUCAGGGGGAGCGCGGCACCGGGCCGCCGGGGCCCAGCCGUUUCCUCGGGGGGGCUGGCCGGCCGGUGCCCCGAGGGAAUCCGGUGAGAUCGUGUUGUGUUCCCGCACUGAUUGGCAUCGUUUAAUUGCUCCUGGGCUGUUAAUUAACACCUGGUGCCGUGUUUCCCUCUCAGCCUGGCCGACCGGUGGUUUGCCUCUGAAGGACGUGGUGAGAUACGGUAGAAAGAACAGCAAAGACAACAACACUUUAGUUGCCAUCACGUUAACUGUGCCUGAAGAGGCAGGUGUGCCCACACCUCCGGGGUCGGGGUCGCGGGACGUGUUCACAGCCCUGCCAGGGAGACGGGCUGCACCGCACGGGAGUGUGUCUGCGGUGGGGGGCUCUGAAAACCCCGCUUCGUAGGGGGAGCGAGUGUUCAACCAGUUCAGUUGAAACUGUUACAUUUUCUGUGACAAUGACUCACCCCUCUGUAGCUAAAGCGAAAUCCCAGGAAAGAAGUCCUGAGCUCAGCAGUGCCACCCUUUUCCCAGGAAGCUGAUUCUCCCCGUUUGAUGGAUGUUUUCAGCCCUGACCAAAAUAUGUGGAUCCAAGGAGUUAGACUCCUUGCGGUGCUGCCGGGCGGUUUUGGUGAUGGCUCCGAGCCCGCUGGCACAAACAGGCACUGGGGCAAAGUCUGGCUUCCUGGAGACUGACUCCUGCACUUCCAUAAAACAGAAGGGAACGGGACCCUCAAACUCUUAUCAAUGACAUGCUGGGCUGGGUAAGUGAUGUUUAUUUCAGUUUAUUGAAUUCCCAUGUGGUCUAGACCCUACCGUAAAUGACUCUUGGUGACUUAAGUUAAAUGUAAAUGAUCCCUAAGCCCUGCACUUAGUUCUAUAAAUACUUCCAUCUACUAAGCCUUUCUAAAAGGCCCCAGAACUUUCAUGCUGCUGGGGAAUAGUCCCUUUUUUAACAGGAAAUACUGGCCCAUGACCAGCUGUGCUGUGUUACCCAACCCGAACACCAGCUGUGGUGUUUGGGGCAGCUCGUUUCUCUGACGGGGAGCAGGAGGGCUCUGUGCUGAGUGGCACUUUUCUGUCCUCCUCCAGCAGCUGAGCGUCUGGCUGCGGCUGGCCAGCAUGGAUUCUGGGGCACACAGGUAUUUAAAUCAUGUUCCUUUUAAAACCAUACGUUUUAGUAAAAUUAAAUCCAGUACUGGAGCACCCAACACUAAAAACAUGUCACGUGAAUUCUUUUUAGAACCGUGCAACUCAUGUGAUUAAAAAUCUAGAGGUUUUGCCUGCUUUUAAAGAAUAUGGGAGUUAUUUUUUCUAAAAUUAAAUUUUACUUUGCAAUGUUAAAUUUAGUUUUGUGUUGUAUUUACCACGUUUAUGUCACAAGUGUGAGCAAUUUGUUCUGCUCAUAUUCCCCAUUAAUAGAAUGAUGUUGUUUGUUAAGGAAUGUAGGAUUUAUGCUCAUAUUAAUAUGUUGCAUGUAAUUUGCAUAAAAUUAGCAUCUAGUUUGUUUAGGCCUGAAAUAAUUAUUCAGCAUGAAUAAUUUAGAAUCCAAAAACUUAUUCCCAUUUCCUAUCUUUAAUUACAGCUGUAGAAGGAAAAAAAUUAGACAUUUUUGCAGCACGGGAAGGCAGUUCAUAGCUGGCUCAUUCUGUGCUCAGAAGCACAAGGAGUUUGCAAAAACUUUUUGCAGACUCUGAGCCCUGGGCUCUCUCUGAGUGAUGAGCUUUGAUUUAUCCACAGCUCCACUGUUUGCUGUAUGGCCGGUCAGUGACAAGCCCUGGCUGCCUCCUGGCUGAAGGGCAGGGCCUUCUCAGCACUGCUUGGCCUGGGUUUGGGUACCAAAACAUCUUGCCCACAGCCUGGCACUGUCACUGGCUUUUUACUUUCUGAAAUAUUAUUGCAAACAAAAUAUCAUUUUUAUGCUUGCAUAAAAUGAAUGAAAAAGAUGACAGCUUCCUUCAAAUGAAGUCUUCUGAUUUUAUUCAUAUAAAUUCUGAUAAUAUUUCUUUAAAGCACUCUGUAGCUCAGCCAUCAGCUGCCUUUAAGAACUAAGCAGAAGGAAUGGUUUGUUGGGAGCAUCACAACUUGGGGUAGCCAGUCCCGUUCCCUCUGAAACUUUCAAAUGUCCCUUAACCUCCCCACUUGAGUUUCUAGAUUUUUAUGGGACUGUGAUCCUUUCAGGAAAAAACCUACUGAUCGUUAGACUCACCUGGUUUGUGAUUAACUCUUACUGCACUUAAGAUAAAGACUCAUUUUACCUGAAGCAUAAGAUCCCAGUUUGAACAGAGGAAUGCCUUGUGGAACUGGUGUGGUGGUGAGCAAUGUCUCCUUGUUUUUCUGCACAGAAGGUGCUGGACGUUGCUGCGUGCGGGCUCUCUCCGGUGGAGGCCAGAAGGAGAACAGGGGCUCCCUCAGCGGUGCCAGGGCCUCUCACGGAUGUUUUCCAGUCACUUUGGGAUCCCUGCAGGGGACGAAGGUUCCUCACGUCACCCACAGGGGCUGCAGUCCCGUGUUGGUGCAAUGGUUAUUCUUAGGAGAGUCAGGGAAAUUCUGAUGUCAGAAGUAUGGCUGUUAUCAGCGUGAAACUGAUAACAGAACUGCCAUCGUGUUCAAGCUGGGGCCGCCCCUGACUUGCUUCCUUCCUCUGAGCCUCUGUUCUUCCCGGUGCUGGGGGCUGCUUUGAUCAGGGUUUGGAUUCACUGGUGAUGUCACCGAGUGACUCUAAGAACUUUGCAGAGCUUCCUCGUGAGUCCCUUCCCCCUCACUGCCUUUGACAUUUUUCAUUUAGCAGGCCAGCUCCUGCUUGGGUUACUCAUGCCAGUAAUCCCUGGGCUGGCAGGGGGAUAAUUAGAGAAAGCUGAGUUUAGCUCAAUGGGGAGGUCAAGUUUUCAGACCCACGAUGGGAUCCACACCGAGCAGUAAAAGUGCUUUCUACUGGUGUGGAGUCAACACUUAAAAAAACCUGACGUUUUAAAACAAGUCAGCUGUGGCCCCAAACCAUUCUGCCACUUAAGUCAAACGCUUUAUGACGUUAAUAAAAGAAGGGCUGUGCUAAAUGUGUAUUAUCUUUAUAUUUCCAGGUCUUAGUCCUUAAUUCCACAGAUACUUUCAGCAUCGGGUGUUCACAGGCUGGGAAUCCAAACCCGUGAGCUGCUGGGCAGUGAGGCCAGGCCACCCUCUGACGUAUCCUCCCAGAGCAAUGUCCACAGUGCAAACAAGAACUACUUAGAGUGAUGAACCCUGAGCCAUGCUGCACCAUCUCCUGUUUGAAAGUCUUUUGAGGACAGCGAAAAGUAACAGCCAAGCUGGUUAUACACAAUUACAGGUGACAGGCUGGAGACAGAUUGGGUUCUGAGCGCCGUUUGAGUGGAGGUGAGCCGUAAUCGGACAAAUGAAAGGGGAAAGAUGCUCCCAGUCAGCUGCCUGGUAACUGCAAAGCCCUGAGCCCUCAGGAGAGGAGCCACAAGUCAGCAGAGCACAAGGACAGCAAGGGCUGGGGUCAUGGUCAUAGAGACCAUGAAGACAAGGGCAAUAAUACCAGAAGGGAAAAGGAAGAUCUCACGGAUUGGAGUUGAUUCACCUUGGAGCUGUUUCUCCAAAGGAGAAGAGCUGUAAUGAUAAGUAAUUAAAUCAUCUGUCAUUGGACCAAGCUGCACAUCAAAACUGGUGAUCAGUCACCAGCUGCCUUGCCCAGCUGAAGGGGAGGUGCGGGUUGACUUGUCGUACCAUGCUGCAGGCUCAUCCACCGGCCUCCGAGGCUUUGGCAUAUAAAGCCUUUUCCUUUGAAAAUCGUCACGUGUGGCAGCUUUUAUAAACCGGCACAGCUGAGGUUGUGUAAAUGACUUUUGGUGCUGUUUUGAAUCGUGGAGCUGUUCCCGUCUCCACAGCGAGACCCACGCUGAGAUGGAAGAAUAGCACCCUCAAGAGUUGACAGCCACGCUGCUCCGGGGAUCCGUCCUCUGCACACACCUCCUUCCCCUUUUAGUGAAUUCACUCCCCGACGUAACCCAUUCUCCCGAGAGGAUACGAGAGUGCAAAGCCAACCGACUGCUGGUGGGACAGAGGUCUGUGUGUGCCUCCUGCCAGGCCAAGCCAUGGCGUCCUGGUACGUGGGCAUUUUGUUCCCUGUUUAAGACUUUGUUGAUUAUUUUUAAUCGCAAGGAACCUGUCAAUCCCUUUCUGAGCAAGGAAUUUACUGUCCCGAAUUUCGGGUUUACCAGAACAUCCAGGACUAAGAAUUACAGCAAUUUAUGCAUUUAUUUUCCUCCGGCCGUUGCUGGGUUUG